GACGAACGCUGGCGGCGUGCCUUACACAUGCAAGUCAAGGAGAAAGUUUCCUUCGGGAAGCGAGUAAACUGGCGCACGGGUGAGUAACGCGUAGGUUAUCUGCCCUAAUCCGGGACAUAACGUCGGGAAACCGGCGCUAAUAUCCCAUGAGGUACUUCGGUAUCAAAGCUUCGGUGGAUUAGGAUGAGCCUGCGUCUGAUUAGCUUGUUGGUGGGGUAACGGCUCACCAAGGCGACGAUCAGUAGCUGGUCUGGGAGGACGAUCAGCCACACUGGAACUGAGACACGGUCCAGACUCCUACGGGAGGCAGCAGUGAGGAAUUUUGGUCAAUGGGGGAAACCCUGAACCAGCGACGCCGCGUGUGGGAUGAAGGAGCUCUGCUCUGUAAACCACUGUUGAGAGGGAGGAAAAGUUUCCCUUGGGAACUGGGACUGUACCUCUUCAGAAAGGUUCGGCUAACUACGUGCCAGCAGCCGCGGUAAUACGUAGGAACCAAGCGUUGUCCGGAAUUACUGGGUGUAAAGGGUGCGUAGGCGGGCAUGUGCGUCAGAGGUUAAAUCCCACGGCUCAACCGUGGACCUGCCUUUGAUACGGCAUGUCUUGAGUGCGAGAGAGGAUGGUAGAAUUCCAGGUGUAGCGGUGAAAUGCGUAGAUAUCAGGAGGAAUACCGGUGGCGAAGGCGGCCAUCUGGCUCGUCACUGACGCUGAGGCACGAAAGCGUGGGGAGCAAACAGGAUUAGAUACCCUGGUAGUCCACGCCCUAAACGAUGUAUGCUUGGCGUUGGGGGAAUUAUCCCUCAGUGCCGAAGGUAACCCAUUAAGCAUACCACCUGGGGAGUACGAUCGCAAGGUUGAAACUCAAAGGAAUUGACGG
This 874-nucleotide ribosomal RNA is filed under the name uncultured Chlorobiota bacterium. RNAcentral describes it as "uncultured Chlorobi bacterium partial 16S rRNA". It matches the Rfam family "Bacterial small subunit ribosomal RNA", at positions 28 to 916 of the family's 1533-position model. Lineage: Bacteria; Pseudomonadati; Chlorobiota. The record is from RNAcentral.